This 468-nucleotide ribosomal RNA is filed under the name uncultured bacterium. RNAcentral describes it as "partial 16S ribosomal RNA". It matches the Rfam family "Bacterial small subunit ribosomal RNA", at positions 28 to 507 of the family's 1533-position model. The record is from RNAcentral.
GACGAACGCUGGCGGCGUGCUUAACACAUGCAAGUCGAACGGAAAGGCCCUGCUCUUGUGGGGUGCUCGAGUGGCGAACGGGUGAGUAACACGCGAGUAACCUGUCCUUGACUUUGGGAUAACUUUAGGAAACUGGGGCUAAUACCGGAUAGGAGCUCCUGCUGCAUGGUGGGGGUUGGAAAGUUUCGGCGGUUGGGGAUGGACUCGCGGCUUAUCAGCUUGUUGGUGGGGUAGUGGCUUACCAAGGCUUUGACGGGUAGCCGGCCUGAGAGGGUGACCGGCCACAUUGGGACUGAGAUACGGCCCAGACUCCAACGGGAGGCAGCGGUGGGGAAUAUUGCACAAUGGGCGGCAGCCUGAUGCAACAACUCCGCGUGCGGGAUGACGGCCUUCGGGUUGUAAACCGCUUUCGCCUGUGACGAAGCGUGAGUGACGGUAAUGGGUAAGGAAGCACCGGCUAACUACGUG